GAUGAACGCUAGCGAUAGGCUUAACACAUGCAAGUCGAGGGGCAGCAUGGUCUUAGCUUGCUAAGACUGAUGGCGACCGGCGCACGGGUGCGUAACGCGUAUGCAACUUGCCUCACAGAGGGGGAUAACCCGUCGAAAGACGGACUAAUACCGCAUACACUCCAUCUUGGGCAUCCAAGGUAGAGGAAAUGAAAUUCGCUGUGAGAUAGGCAUGCGUCCCAUUAGCUAGUUGGUGAGGUAACGGCUCACCAAGGCGACGAUGGGUAGGGGAACUGAGAGGUUGAACCCCCACACUGGUACUGAGACACGGACCAGACUCCUACGGGAGGCAGCAGUGAGGAAUAUUGGUCAAUGGGCGAGAGCCUGAACCAGCCAAGUCGCGUGAAGGAUGACUGUCUUAUGGAUUGUAAACUUCUUUUAUACGGGAAUAACAAGAGUCACGUGUGACUCCCUGCAUGUACCGUAUGAAUAAGCAUCGGCUAACUCCGUGCCAGCAGCCGCGGUAAUACGGAGGAUGCGAGCGUUAUCCGGAUUUAUUGGGUUUAAAGGGUGCGUAGGCGGCCUGUUAAGUCAGCGGUGAAAUCUAGGAGCUUAACUCCUAAAUUGCCAUUGAUACUGGCGGGCUUGAGUGUAGAUGAGGUAGGCGGAAUGCGUGGUGUAGCGGUGGAAUGCAUAGAUAUCACGCAGAACUCCGAUUGCGAAGGCAGCUUACUAAGGUACAACUGACGCUGAAGCACGAAAGCGUGGGUAUCAAACGGG
Molecule: ribosomal RNA, 759 nt
Filed under: uncultured Porphyromonas sp.
Lineage: Bacteria; Pseudomonadati; Bacteroidota; Bacteroidia; Bacteroidales; Porphyromonadaceae
Description: bacterial SSU rRNA
Rfam family: Bacterial small subunit ribosomal RNA
Source: RNAcentral